UUAAGCGACUAAGCGUACACGGUGGAUGCCCUGGCAGUCAGAGGCGAUGAAGGACGUGCUAAUCUGCGAAAAGCGCCGGCGAGGUGAUAUGAACCUUUGACCCGGCGAUGUCCGAAUGGGGAAACCCAGUGUGAUUCGUCACACUAUCGUUAACUGAAUACAUAGGUUAACGAGGCGAACCGGGGGAACUGAAACAUCUAAGUACCCCGAGGAAAAGAAAUCAACCGAGAUUCCCCCAGUAGCGGCGAGCGAACGGGGAGCAGCCCAGAGUCUGAAUCAGCUUGUGUGUUAGUGGAAGCGUCUGGAAAGUCGCACGGUACAGGGUGACAGUCCCGUACACGAAAAUGCACAGGUUGUGAACUCGAAGAGUAGGGCGGGACACGUGGUAUCCUGUCUGAAUAUGGGGGGACCAUCCUCCAAGGCUAAAUACUCCUGACUGACCGAUAGUGAACCAGUACCGUGAGGGAAAGGCGAAAAGAACCCCGGCGAGGGGAGUGAAAAAGAACCUGAAACCGUGUACGUACAAGCAGUGGGAGCACCUUCGGGUGUGACUGCGUACCUUUUGUAUAAUGGGUCAGCGACUUAUAUUCUGUAGCAAGGUUAACCGUAUAGGGGAGCCGAAGGGAAACCGAGUCUUAACUGGGCGUUAAGUUGCAGGGUAUAGACCCGAAACCCGGUGAUCUAGCCAUGGGCAGGUUGAAGGUUGGGUAACACUAACUGGAGGACCGAACCGACUAAUGUUGAAAAAUUAGCGGAUGACUUGUGGCUGGGGGUGAAAGGCCAAUCAAACCGGGAGAUAGCUGGUUCUCCCCGAAAGCUAUUUAGGUAGCGCCUCGUGAACUCAUCUUCGGGGGUAGAGCACUGUUUCGGCUAGGGGGCCAUCCCGGCUUACCAACCCGAUGCAAACUACGAAUACCGAAGAAUGUUAUCACGGGAGACACACGGCGGGUGCUAACGUCCGUCGUGAAGAGGGAAACAACCCAGACCGCCAGCUAAGGUCCCAAAGUCAUGGUUAAGUGGGAAACGAUGUGGGAAGGCACAGACAGCCAGGAUGUUGGCUUAGAAGCAGCCAUCAUUUAAAGAAAGCGUAAUAGCUCACUGGUCGAGUCGGCCUGCGCGGAAGAUGUAACGGGGCUAAACCAUGCACCGAAGCUGCGGCAGCGACACUAUGUGUUGUUGGGUAGGGGAGCGUUCUGUAAGCCGUUGAAGGUGGCCUGUGAGGCAUGCUGGAGGUAUCAGAAGUGCGAAUGCUGACAUAAGUAACGAUAAAGCGGGUGAAAAGCCCGCUCGCCGGAAGACCAAGGGUUCCUGUCCAACGUUAAUCGGGGCAGGGUGAGUCGACCCCUAAGGCGAGGCCGAAAGGCGUAGUCGAUGGGAAACAGGUUAAUAUUCCUGUACUUGGUGUUACUGCGAAGGGGGGACGGAGAAGGCUAUGUUAGCCGGGCGACGGUUGUCCCGGUUUAAGCAUGUAGGCGGAACGAUUAGGUAAAUCCGGUCGUUUNCUUACCUUAAAGAACCUGCCUUUGUAGUGCUCACACAGAUUGUCUGAUGAAAAGUAAAUAGCAAGGCGUCUUGCGAUUGAGACUUCAGUGUCCCCUUCGUCUAGAGGCCCAGGACACCGCCCUUUCACGGCGGUAACAGGGGUUCGAAUCCCCUAGGGGACGCCACUUGCUGGUUCGUGAGUGAAAGUCACCUGCCGUCAUAUCUCAAAACUGACUUGCGAGUCACGUUUGAGAUAUUUGCUCUUUAAAAAUCUGGAUCAAGCUGAAAAUUGAAACGACACAUCUUUAAGGUGUGUUCGAGUCUCUCAAAUUUUCGCAAUCAGAAGUGAAACAUCUUCGGGUUGUGAGG
This 1851-nucleotide ribosomal RNA is filed under the name Enterobacter roggenkampii CHS 79. Its description in RNAcentral is "bacterial LSU rRNA". It matches the Rfam family "Bacterial large subunit ribosomal RNA". Lineage: Bacteria; Pseudomonadati; Pseudomonadota; Gammaproteobacteria; Enterobacterales; Enterobacteriaceae. The record is from RNAcentral.